GCGCAGUAGCUUGGCUUGGUUUUUUUUGUCAAACGCGUCCACAGAUCAAAACGUUUUUCCCACUUAUUUACUGGACCGCGGGUUGAAUUGUGAAAAACAGAGAGGCUUUUGUGUAAAAGUGCCGACGACGGACGACAAAAACCAUCGGUGCUUUAUUAUUAUGAGAGAUUGUCAGGAUUGUUCCCAUAACAGUAUUACCGGUUAAUAUAAUUUCAUUUUAAUUUUAACUCAAGGACAUAUCGGUAAUAUCCUGUAGUCCUUUCACCAUGCCAAGCACUGGAACGACUUCGCCGCUUUUCCGACGUUCACAUAUACAAGAGUAUCGGAACGACAGAAAGAUGACAUGUCGCCUCGAGGAGCCCCGCACAGCGAGGGCAUCCCUGUGUAUCAGCCCUGUUUGCACAACCCCAUACGCCCAAUACUUUUCGGCAUACUUGUACGACUUGAUUUGCCGAUGCUUUUGAUUGAGAGACCCACACGAAGUCACAUACAUACAAGCUGAUCCCUCAAGCAAUCAGGUAGAAGUGGAUUGAUCGUGAGACACACACGGACGAACAAACUGAUCCCAAGCUACCAGGCAGCUGGAUUCAUCAUUGAUCGCGUACGAAGCUAGCUGCUCAAUUGAUCCGCUACAUAAUAGCCAAUGAAUAUCUUGCCGGGAAACGGCGUACAGGGGUAGCAGUGCCGAUUUCCAUGUCUCCGCCCGAAGGAAAAUAGUCCAAUUUUACCCUUGUCCGAGGAAAUUACUACUCAUAUUACUUCAGCUGAACCCUUGAUGCACAAUAAUAAACGUCUUAUAUUAUCUUGAUGUAUCGUAAAAGGACUCUGCUGAUAAUAUAAGGAUCAUGAAAGAUAUAUAUGAUGAGAUGUAUGCUUGCAUGUGAAGCCAUUUCUUUGGGAUUUGUAACACAAAUUUAUCAAACUGGUUCUAGGUGUUGAUUGUCUCUGGAAGGUGCUAUCACUCAUUCACUAUUUUUGUAUUUCUACCUUUCUGUUCCGUAAAUAGAAAAAUAUAAUGUUGGAGGCCUGGGAAACUCGUAUGGGCACGCAUCUGCCAAGCCCUGCCCGGCCUCCUGAUUGUCUCGCGAUCCGUAAAGUCGUUGUAUCCUACAUGAUGAGACGACAAGUUUAAAUUUUAAUUUUGAAACUUAUGACAGUACCGAUUGUAGCUUUUGAAACUAAUCAUUUCGUCGGUCAUUCACUCCAAGUUUAAGAGUUGAUAGUUAAAACUUAUGUUUAUUGGUCGCUCGUAUUAAGUUUCAAAAGUUCAACUUCUCAUUCAAAGAUAUGAAAGAUUAAAAUUCGGAAGCCAAAAGAAAAGGCACACGUGAGGGGCUGGGUGUCUCAACACCAACGUGCCACAAAUCCUCUCCCUUUAAGGCCUUGCUAGUUUAGGGCUUUACGCUGACAGUGAGAAUCAUAAUAGGCUUCGAAAGUGAAUAACUAGAUAUUAUAUGAACCUUGUUGUUCUAUUACGUUCUUGUAUGACCC
This 1491-nucleotide long non-coding RNA is filed under the name Hordeum vulgare. RNAcentral describes it as "long non-coding RNA (HVUL_LNC014316)". The record is from RNAcentral. Lineage: Eukaryota; Viridiplantae; Streptophyta; Magnoliopsida; Poales; Poaceae.